CGGUGUUUAACUGGCGUGAUGUGGGACGUCCUACCGGUGGGCUUAGCCUCGCGAGGGGCGGCCCAACUAAUAUCCCGUCGCGGUGCUCUUUACUGAGUGUCGAGUCGGGCCGGUACGUUUACUUUGAACAAAUUAGAGUGCUUAAAGCAGGCUAUCCUCGCCUGAAUACUGCGUGCAUGGAAUAAUGGAAUAGGACCUCGGUUCUAUUUUGUUGGUUUUCGGAACCCCGAGGUAAUGAUUAAUAGGGACAGAUGGGGGCAUUCGUAUUGCGACGUUAGAGGUGAAAUUCUUGGAUCGUCGCAAGACGGACAGAAGCGAAAGCAUUUGCCAAAAAUGUUUUCAUUAAUCAAGAACGAAAGUUAGAGGUUCGAAGGCGAUCAGAUACCGCCCUAGUUCUAACCAUAAACGAUGCCAGCUAGCGAUCCGCCGAAGUUCCUCCGAUGACUCGGCGGGCAGCUUCCGGGAAACCAAAGCUUUUGGGUUCCGGGGGAAGCAUGGUUGCAAAGCUGAAACUUAAAGGAAUUGACGGAAGGGCACCACCAGGAGUGGAGCCUGCGGCUUAAUUUGACUCAACACGGGAAACCUCACCAGGCCCAGACACCGGAAGGAUUGACAGAUUGAUAGCUCUUUCUUGAUUCGGUGGGUGGUGGUGCAUGGCCGUUCUUAGUUGGUGGAGCGAUUUGUCUGGUUAAUUCCGAUAACGAACGAGACUCUAGCCUGCUAAAUAGGCGUACCUUAUGGUAUCGCGAAGGCCCCCGGCUUCGGCCGGUGGGUUUUUACUACCAACGUACAAACAAAUCUUCUUAGAGGGACAGGCGG
This 819-nucleotide ribosomal RNA is filed under the name uncultured eukaryote. RNAcentral describes it as "SSU rRNA". It matches the Rfam family "Eukaryotic small subunit ribosomal RNA", at positions 629 to 1426 of the family's 1831-position model. The record is from RNAcentral.